This 450-nucleotide ribosomal RNA is filed under the name uncultured Glomeromycotina. Its description in RNAcentral is "SSU rRNA". It matches the Rfam family "Eukaryotic small subunit ribosomal RNA", at positions 569 to 1024 of the family's 1831-position model. The record is from RNAcentral. Lineage: Eukaryota; Fungi; Glomeromycota.
AGCAGCCGCGGUAAUUCCAGCUCCAAUAGCGUAUAUUAAAGUUGUUGCAGUUAAAAAGCUCGUAGUUGAAUUUCGAGACCGGUCUACUGGUCGUGCUUUUGUACGUACUGGUUUUAUUGGUUUCUCCUUUCUGACGAACUAUAAUGCCAUUAAUUUGGUGUUAUGGGGAAUCAGGACUGUUACUUUGAAAAAAUUAGAGUGUUUAAAGCAGGCUCACGCUUGAAUACAUUAGCAUGGAAUAACGGAAUAGGACGUUUGAUUCUAUUUUGUUGGUUUCUAGGAUCGACGUAAUGAUUAAUAGGGAUAGUUGGGGGCAUUAGUAUUCAAUUGUCAGAGGUGAAAUUCUUGGAUUUAUUGAAGACUAACUACUGCGAAAGCAUUUGCCAAGGAUGUUUUCAUUAAUCAAGAACGAAAGUUAGGGGAUCGAAGACGAUCAGAUACCGUCGUAGU